AUUUAAUGUAUUCCAACCUUCUUUACUAUUUUUACUGUUUUGUAGUUUAGUGUUGUAAAAAUGAACCUUAGUUGCUUUGAUUCUUUUGUUAAGUUCAUUUCUACAACGUUUAUAAUAGUCCGUGUGUUGUGACCCGAUAUCGUUCACUUUCAUUAAGCAUGUCUUAGAACUGAAAUAUUUUUACGGGAACUAACACUUUCGAACACGCUG
Non-coding RNA from Paramuricea clavata, 210 nucleotides. NCBI's taxonomy places the organism in Eukaryota, Metazoa, Cnidaria, Anthozoa, Malacalcyonacea, Plexauridae. The record is from the annotation of a GenBank genome assembly.